This 254-nucleotide ribosomal RNA is filed under the name uncultured bacterium. Its description in RNAcentral is "partial 16S ribosomal RNA". It matches the Rfam family "Bacterial small subunit ribosomal RNA", at positions 524 to 776 of the family's 1533-position model. The record is from RNAcentral.
UACGAAGGGGGCUAGCGUUGCUCGGAAUCACUGGGCGUAAAGCGCACGUAGGCGGAUUGCUAAGUCAGGGGUGAAAUCCUGGAGCUCAACUCCAGAACUGCCUUUGAUACUGGCGAUCUUGGAGUCCGGGAGAGGUGGGUGGAACUGCGAGUGUAGAGGUGAAAUUCGUAGAUAUUCGCAAGAACACCAGUGGCGAAGGCGGCUCACUGGUCCGGUACUGACGCUGAGGUGCGAAAGCGUGGGGAGCAAACAGG